This 148-nucleotide non-coding RNA is filed under the name Homo sapiens (human). Lineage: Eukaryota; Metazoa; Chordata; Mammalia; Primates; Hominidae. The record is from Rfam by way of RNAcentral.
GCCGGGUGUGGUGGUGUGCACCUGUAGUCCCAGCUGCUCAGGAGGCUGAGGCAGGAGAAUCGCUUGAACCCGGGAGGUGGAGGGUGCAGUGAGCCGAGAUCACACCACUGCACUCCAGCCUGGGCAACAAAGUGAGACUCAGUCUCAA